AGAAUGAACGCUGGCGGCGUGCUUUACACAUGCAAGUCGAGCGAGGCGGGUAGCAAUACCCAGUCGAGCGGCGAACGGGUGAGUAACGCGUGGAUUAUCUACCCUGAGGUGGGGGAUAACCCCGGGGAAACUCGGGCUAAUACCGCAUGACAUCGAGAGAUCAAAGGGGGCCGCAAGGCUCUCGCCAUGGGAGGAGUCCGCGUACGAUUAGCUAGUUGGUAGGGUAAUGGCCUACCAAGGCGACGAUCGUUAGCCGGCCUGAGAGGGGUGAUCGGCCACACUGGAACUGAGACACGGUCCAGACGUCCUACCGGGAGGCUAGGCAGUGGGGUAAUUUUGGACGCAAGUUGGGCGAAAGCCGUAGACGCAGCGAACCGCCGGCGUGGGAGGACGAAGGUCUUAGGA
Molecule: ribosomal RNA, 405 nt
Filed under: uncultured soil bacterium
Lineage: Bacteria
Description: bacterial SSU rRNA
Rfam family: Bacterial small subunit ribosomal RNA
Source: RNAcentral